CAGUAGCCGCGGGAAUACGUAGGGUGCAAGCGUUAAUCGGAAUUACUGGGCGUAAAGCGUGCGCAGGCGGUUCGCUAAGACAGAUGUGAAAUCCCCGGGCUCAACCUGGGAACUGCAUUUGUGACUGGCAAGCUAGAGUGUGGCAGAGGGGGGUGGAAUUCCGCGUGUAGCAGUGAAAUGCGUAGAUAUGCGGAGGAACACCGAUGGUGAAGGCAGCCCCCUGGGCCAACACUGACGCUCAUGCACGAAAGCGUGGGGAGCAAACAGGAUUAGAUACCCCGGUAGUCCCUGUCUCUUAUAC
RNAcentral lists this ribosomal RNA (301 nucleotides) under uncultured bacterium. Its description in RNAcentral is "partial 16S ribosomal RNA". It matches the Rfam family "Bacterial small subunit ribosomal RNA", at positions 509 to 807 of the family's 1533-position model. The record is from RNAcentral.